RNAcentral lists this ribosomal RNA (235 nucleotides) under uncultured bacterium. Its description in RNAcentral is "partial 16S ribosomal RNA". It matches the Rfam family "Bacterial small subunit ribosomal RNA", at positions 99 to 334 of the family's 1533-position model. The record is from RNAcentral.
CGGACGGGUGAGUAACGCGUGGGUAACCUGCCUUGUACAGGGGGAUAACAGUUGGAAACGGCUGCUAAUACCGCAUAAGCGCACGGCAUCGCAUGAUGCAGUGUGAAAAACUCCGGUGGUAUAAGAUGGACCCGCGUUGGAUUAGCUAGCUGGUGAGGUAACGGCCCACCAAGGCGACGAUCCAUAGCCGACCUGAGAGGGUGACCGGCCACAUUGGGACUGGGACACGGCCCAA